RNAcentral lists this ribosomal RNA (445 nucleotides) under uncultured bacterium. RNAcentral describes it as "partial 16S ribosomal RNA". It matches the Rfam family "Bacterial small subunit ribosomal RNA", at positions 338 to 795 of the family's 1533-position model. The record is from RNAcentral.
CCUACGGGUGGCUGCAGUUUCGAAUCAUUCACAAUGGGCGAAAGCCUGAUGGUGCGACGCCGCGUGAGGGAUGAAGGCCUUCGGGUUGUAAACCUCUGUCACUGGGGAAGAAACGCUUCAAGUUAAUAGCUUGAAGCCUGACUUAACCCAGAGAGGAAGCAGUGGCUAACUCUGUGCCAGCAGCCGCGGUAAUACAGAGACUGCAGGCGGUAUUCGGAGUCCAGGCGCGUAAAGGUGGCGCAUGCGGCCGCCCGGGGCUUAACCUCGGAAUUGCGCCUAAAACUACACGGCUAGAGCAUUGGAGAGGGUAGCGGAAUUCACGGUGUAGCAGUGAAAUGCGUAGAUAUCGUGAGGAACACCAGAGGCGAAGGCGGCUACCUGGACAAUUGCUGACGCUCAGGCACGAAAGCGUGGGGAGCAAAAGGGAUUAGAUACCCUGGUAGUC